CACUUUUCUCUGGGACACUCUGGACUCUUUGGAUCUGCUCAGGACUCUGGACUGAGCAUGGAUCAGAGAGAGCACAGAGAGGACGCAGACCCUCUGACCACCAGCAGGGCGGCGCUGGAAGCAUCUAUUAGAAGACUGAGCAAUUUUACAAAGUCUGGUCCACGGAUUCAGCAGAAACAUCCUCCGUCUGAACCUGGUCCCAGCUGUGAGUCCUUCAAGAGUGACCAUUCUAUGAGACCUCCCAUUGUUUUGCAAUAGAGCCAGUGGAGCAGACAGAUCUAGAGGUCUCCAGUGGUCAGCACCAUCAGACACAGCUGGACUCCAUAUUUAAG
This is a long non-coding RNA of Boleophthalmus pectinirostris (great blue-spotted mudskipper), 332 nucleotides long. RefSeq lists it as uncharacterized. NCBI's taxonomy places the organism in Eukaryota, Metazoa, Chordata, Actinopteri, Gobiiformes, Gobiidae. The record is from RefSeq and is a predicted model, not a curated record. The transcript has 4 exons.